ACCCUAAUGCUGGAAUUUGGUAGACAGAAAUUAGUUAAGAUAAUUUGAAUAAGAUCAUGGGAGUUCAAGUCUCUCUUAGGGUA
RNAcentral lists this transfer RNA (83 nucleotides) under Endoconidiophora resinifera. Its description in RNAcentral is "tRNA-Leu". Lineage: Eukaryota; Fungi; Ascomycota; Sordariomycetes; Microascales; Ceratocystidaceae. The record is from RNAcentral.